Molecule: long non-coding RNA, 218 nt
Filed under: Elaeis guineensis (African oil palm)
Lineage: Eukaryota; Viridiplantae; Streptophyta; Magnoliopsida; Arecales; Arecaceae
Description: long non-coding RNA (EGUI_LNC013538)
Source: RNAcentral
AAUUAUGAGAACUCGCCUUUCCCUUGAGGGGAGGGAAAGAAUUUAGUAUGUGACAUACAGAAUUUGGAGUGCCAAUGUGCAAACCAGAGCUCUUGAAUCCUAUAAAAAAUUUAUGCAAACGAGUUUUACAGGUUUAAUAUGUCUAGUUGAUCUCUCAUAUAUGGCAUCAAGGGCAAUUACAGUAGCGCAGAGAUCUCACCGGAGGUGUGACUUGAGGG